ACGGGAGGCAGCAGUGGGGGAUAUUGCACAAUGGGGGAAACCCUGAUGCAGCAAUGCCGCGUGAGUGAUGACGGUCUUCGGAUUGUAAAGCUCUGUCUUUGGGGACGAUAAUGACGGUACCCAAGGAGGAAGCCACGGCUAACUACGUGCCAGCAGCCGCGGUAAUACGUAGGUGGCGAGCGUUGUCCGGAUUUACUGGGCGUAAAGGGAGCGUAGGCGGAUUCUUAAGUGGGAUGUGAAAUACCCAGGCUUAACCUGGGUGCUGCAUUCCAAACUGGGAAUCUAGAGUGCAGGAGGGGAGAGUGGAAUUCCUAGUGUAGCGGUGAAAUGCGUAGAGAUUAGGAAGAACACCAGUGGCGAAGGCGACUCUCUGGACUGUAACUGACGCUGAGGCUCGAAAGCGUGGGGAGCAAACAGGAUUAGAUACCCUGGUA
Molecule: ribosomal RNA, 434 nt
Filed under: uncultured Clostridium sp.
Lineage: Bacteria; Bacillati; Bacillota; Clostridia; Eubacteriales; Clostridiaceae
Description: bacterial SSU rRNA
Rfam family: Bacterial small subunit ribosomal RNA
Source: RNAcentral